GUGGGUGGUGCGGGGCUCCCGGAGCUAGGACUCCCCCUCCCCAGUGUCUGCUCCCUGAGCACCUGGGGUUUCCCUCCCUGAGCGCCCCGAGCAAUCGAGCCCCUGCAUCCCCCAGGGAGGAACCUCCUUUGAGCGUCUUGGACUCGCGGUCUCUGUCCGAACACGGAUGGCUUCCGAGACCAGCACCUUCCCCUACCCCACCCCCACCCCACCCAUAUUCCUUGGUGCCGGGACCCCACCUCCAUACUGUGCAGUCGGGGGACCUGGCGAGCCUCUGCCAAGAAGAGGGUGACGAGUCCCCCACACACACUUCGAACUCAUUGGACCUGGGGAUCCCGCUGUCUGAACCUCCUCCCGGUCCCGCUGGACACCGACUCUACCCUCCUGUGCUAGGGACUUUUGCGGCAGAGUCCUCCAGAACUCUGGGAUCCGAAGCUGGAGGCCUCUUGUGGAGACCACUGCGUUUCACAGGCUCCCAGCAUCCUUCCGGGGCACAUGCGGCGGCUGUUCUCCCUUCUGGCCUGCUG
Molecule: long non-coding RNA, 527 nt
Filed under: Heterocephalus glaber (naked mole-rat)
Lineage: Eukaryota; Metazoa; Chordata; Mammalia; Rodentia; Bathyergidae
Description: lncRNA (ENSHGLG00000033001.1)
Source: RNAcentral